CCUACGGGUGGCAGCAGUGAGGAAUAUUGGUCAAUGGCCGCGAGGCUGAACCAGCCAAGUCGCGUGAAGGAAGACGGCCCUACGGGUUGUAAACCUCUUUUGUCGGGGAGCAAAGCGAGUCACGUGUGACUCAUUGAGAGUACCCUAAGAAAAAGCAUCGGCUAACUCCGUGCCAGCAGCCGCGGUAAUACGGAGGAUGCGAGCGUUAUCCGGAUUUAUUGGGUUUAAAGGGUGCGCAGGGGGAUGUGCAAGUCAGCGGUAAAAUUGCGGGGCUCAACCCCGUACUGCCGUUGAAACUGCAUCCCUUGAGUGCGCGAGAAGUAUGCGGAAUGCGUGGUGUAGCGGUGAAAUGCAUAGAUAUCACGCAGAACUCCGAUUGCGAAGGCAGCAUACCGGCGCGCAACUGACGCUCAUGCACGAAAGUGUGGGUAUCAAACAGGAUUAGAUACCCCAGUAGUC
Molecule: ribosomal RNA, 459 nt
Filed under: uncultured bacterium
Lineage: Bacteria
Description: partial 16S ribosomal RNA
Rfam family: Bacterial small subunit ribosomal RNA
Source: RNAcentral